GUUAAUGAAUCUCUUUUGUCUGAUGACCCUGAUUCAUAUGUGACAUUGACAGUUGUCCGGUCCCUAGGAGGAAAAGGAGCUGUUCGACUUCAGUGGACCAUAGAUGAGACAGCUAAAAAUGAUCUCAGGCCUUUGAAUGGGACGCUUCUUUUUGAUGAGACAGAGUCUGAAAAGACCAUUGUGUUGCACACGCUUCAUGAUACUGUGUUGGAGGAGGACAGGCGUUUUACCAUUCAGUUGAUACCAAUUGAUGAAGUAGAAAUAUCUCCAGUGAAAGGUAGUGCAUCAAUAAUCAUUCGGGGAGAUAAGGGAACAUCAGGAGAAGUUGGGAUUGCUCCAUCAUCUAAGCAUGUCCUCAUCGGGGAACCCUCAGGAAAAUACAAUGGUACUGCUAUCAUCAGGUAUGGGCUUCAUGCUUUUUCUUUGCUUAGGUCGAGAUUUUGAACUUUUAUU
Long non-coding RNA from Panthera uncia (snow leopard), 453 nucleotides. RefSeq lists it as uncharacterized. The transcript is spliced from 3 exons. NCBI's taxonomy places the organism in Eukaryota, Metazoa, Chordata, Mammalia, Carnivora, Felidae. The record is from RefSeq and is a predicted model, not a curated record.